AGGACGAACGCUGGCGGCGUGCUUAACACAUGCAAGUCGAACGGUGAAGCCCUUCGGGGUGGAUCAGUGGCGAACGGGUGAGUAACACGUGAGCAACCUGCCCUUAGCUCCGGGAUAGCUCCGGGAAACCGGAAUUAAUACCGGAUAUGACCUAGGCCGACAUCGGCUGUGGGUGGAAAGUUUUUCGGCUGGGGAUGGACUCGCGGCCUAUCAGCUUGUUGGUGGGGUAAUGGCCUACCAAGGCGACGACGGGUAGCCGGCCUGAGAGGGCGACCGGCCACACUGGGGACUGAGACACGGCCCAGACUCCUACGGGAGGCAGCAGUGGGAAUCUUGCGCAAUGGGCGAAAGCCUGACGCAGCGACGCCGCGUGGGGGAUGGAAGGCCUUCGGGUUGUAAACCCCUUUCAGCAGGGACGAAGCGAAAGUGACGGUACCUGCAGAAGAAGCGCCGGCUAACUACGCGCCAGCAGCCGC
RNAcentral lists this ribosomal RNA (476 nucleotides) under uncultured bacterium. Its description in RNAcentral is "SSU rRNA". It matches the Rfam family "Bacterial small subunit ribosomal RNA", at positions 26 to 518 of the family's 1533-position model. The record is from RNAcentral.